RNAcentral lists this long non-coding RNA (1056 nucleotides) under Capsicum annuum. RNAcentral's name for it is "long non-coding RNA (CANN_LNC004611)". Lineage: Eukaryota; Viridiplantae; Streptophyta; Magnoliopsida; Solanales; Solanaceae. The record is from RNAcentral.
GCUCGUGCCACAAAGACGCACAUAAAAAUCAGACUUAUAAAAUCAGCUAACACACCCAAUCUAGCACGUGACUGCCUGUCUGUGCCCAUUUAUAGGCCACAACCUAGACACAUUUAGGCACAUGCAUAUAUCCCAAAAAUAAUUGACAACCCCAACUACUAGGUCAUUAAAUUCAAUUAUGAAUUUCAAAUUACAAGUUCAUCCAAUGUUGUUGACAAAGCCAAACAGUUACAAUUGAAAAAAUUAUGCAUACAGCCAACAAAUUUGGUGCCAAAUGCCUUCUUUGGACCCAACUUAUUGCUUGCCUACGUGCAUGCCUCGUGUGCAGAUCCGCCCCCGCACAACUGGUUAUUGGUGUCUAUUUUUCAUAGUCGUCUACCUUGUUGAACUCAUAAUCCACGAACUUGACUUAGCCAUGAUCAUGUGACAUCAUAGUCUUGUCUUACCUUAGUUUGUCAGCCUUUGUCAUGCCUUAGCCACGCAACUACCUGGCUUGCUUAGCCAUACCACUGCUCUGCUUGCCUUAGCCACGCCACUGUCAAGGUUUUGUCAUUCCUCGUCGGCAGAUAGACUGGCAACAAUUAAAUAUGAUGUUAACAAAAGUCAUUUGGUCAUGGCUAGGUUCUGUUGGGGAACGAUGAUAAAACAAUAAUAACAAUAUUAAUUAAUUGUUAACACAAUAAUACAAUAAUUAUAAUAUUAGCAGAAUAAUAACAUAACAGUAUAUAAUAAUAAUAAUAAUAAUAAUACUUCAAUAAUAAUAUGAUAAUUAAUAUUAUAACAGUAACAAUGAUAUAAUUAUUGUUAACAAGUGAAUAAUAUUAAAUAAAAGGUACUGAAUAUUAAAUAAAAAUUAUUGUAGUAUUAUUUUAAGUGAUGUAUUAAUUAUAUUUGAGUCGUGCUAGGCACUGUCCUAAAAACUAUUUCAGCAGUGUAAAAUAUUUCCCCAGGAUUAAUCAAGCACUUCCCUGAUUAAUUAGAGAAUAUUAUGAGUUAAAUAAGUUUUUUCUAAUUAACCAGAGGAUACAAGAAUCAACAAAAUUAUUAAUACAAAUA